AUUAGACAAAAUCACAUUGUCUUCACUUGAGGAGCCAAAGUCAACAACAAUGGUUUGAUGGAUUCAAAGUCAGAUACGUGAAACCUGGCACGACAAGAUGAUGAUGUCGUAGAGGUUUUGGUUGAUUGUGUUGGAGAAGUUGCAUGGAUGGAAGCGACAUACUGCUCAAACAAAGAUGUAGAACUAGAGGAAUCAGAUUUGUGAAGCUCACGAAUUUUUCAAAGACGUCUUAGAAGGUUUCUAGUUGAAAUCAUUUUGAACCUUGGGGUUUGCACGGUGAAGUAGAGGAUCGUUAGGGUUUCAACAUUUGAGGAGGAGUGAAAUGAUAGUACUUGCUUCGUGUAGAUACCAUGGUUGAAGAAGG
This 364-nucleotide long non-coding RNA is filed under the name Cucumis sativus (cucumber). RNAcentral's name for it is "long non-coding RNA (CSAT_LNC001517)". Lineage: Eukaryota; Viridiplantae; Streptophyta; Magnoliopsida; Cucurbitales; Cucurbitaceae. The record is from RNAcentral.